UAGGCUAACUUUGCAAAAAUUAUGUUGGGCCCUCGUGGCUCAGUGGUAGAGUGAUGAACUUUAAGAUUGGUGUGAGGGAAGCAUGGGUUCGAACCCCACUCGGAACUUACAAAAAACUUCAAAGAGCAUCCACUGCAUCAUCAUGUGUGCUUAAAAACACACAACACGGUGAUGGAGCUGCCCAGGGGAGUAGGGGAGGUGAGUGCGCAGCACCUCCCCAACCUUCCCAGGAGAGCAGGGGAGGUGUGUGCACAGCACCUCCCUAGCUUCCCCACCUUUGUCCCACCCCUUGUCCCACCAUAAAAAGUAGAUUCACUGACCACCAAUUUGAUUCCUUCAGCAACAUGAGGAUACACCAGACUUCCUUGAUUAUUUACCCAUACCAUACUUAUCAUGCUUAUCCCAUACCUUGUCUCACCUACAGGAGGAGCAGCGGGAACAUCAUGAGCAGCAGGAGCGACAGAAACAUCAGGCACAGCAGGAAUAUUAGGAGCAACAGGAAUAUCAGUAGCAGCAGGAGCAGCAGGAACAAAAGGAACAUCAGGACUAGCAGGAGCAGCAGGAACAUCAGGAGCAGCAGGAAAACCAGGAGCAGCAGGAACAUCAGGAGAAACAGGAACAUCCACAGGUGAGUGCACAACACCUCCCUACCCUUCCCAGACUUAUCCCAUCCCUUGUUUCAUCCACAGCCAGAACAUCAGAAGCAGCAGGAGCAGCAGGUACAAAAGGAGCAUCAGGAGCAGCAGGUGAGUGCACAACUCCUCCCUACCCUUCCCAUCCCUUGUCUCACCCACAGCAGGUACAGCAGGAACAUCAGGAGCACCAGGAACAGCAGGACCAGCGGAUACAGCAAGAAAAUUAGGAGCAGUAAGAACGUCAGGUGCAGCAGGAAAAUCAAGACCAAUCAAUAGGAGCAGCAGGUGAGUGCAUAAAACAUUUCUCUUCCAUUGCUUAUCAUAUCCCUAGUCUCACCCACAGCAGGAAAAGCAGAAACA
This is a long non-coding RNA of Scylla paramamosain (green mud crab), 995 nucleotides long. RefSeq lists it as uncharacterized. The record is from RefSeq and is a predicted model, not a curated record. NCBI's taxonomy places the organism in Eukaryota, Metazoa, Arthropoda, Malacostraca, Decapoda, Portunidae. The transcript has 2 exons.